This 1077-nucleotide ribosomal RNA is filed under the name Triticum aestivum (bread wheat). RNAcentral's name for it is "partial small subunit ribosomal RNA". The record is from RNAcentral. Lineage: Eukaryota; Viridiplantae; Streptophyta; Magnoliopsida; Poales; Poaceae.
AUGCCUGGGAGGUCGACCAUGGAAGCCAUUUUCUUGGUACGACAACUUAUGGAGAGAUAUAGGGAGCAUAAGAAGGACUUGCAUAUGGUGUUCAUUGACUUGGAGAAGGCCUAUGAUAAGAUACCGCGGAAUGUCAUGUGGUGGGCCUUGGAGAAACACAAAGUCCCAGCAAAUUACAUUACCCUCAUCAAGGACAUGUACAAUAAUGUUGUGACAAGUGUUCGAACAAGUGAUGUCGACACUGAUGACUUCCCGAUUAAGAUAGGACUGCAUCAGGGGUCAGCUUUGAGCCCUUAUCUUUUUGCUUUGGUGAUGGAUGAGGUCACAAGGGGUAUACAAGGAGAUAUCCCAUGGUGUAUGCUCUUUGCGGAUGAUGUGGUGCUAGUUGACGAUAGUCGGACGGGGGUAAAUAGGAAGUUAGAGUUAUGGAGACAAACCUUGGAAUCGAAAGGGUUUAGGCUUAGUAGAACUAAAACCGAGUACAUGAUGUGCGGUUUCAGUACUACUAGCUGUGAGGAGGAGGAGGUUAGCCUUGAUGGCCAGGUGGUACCUCGGAAGGACACCUUUCGGUAUUUGGGGUCAAUGUUGCAGGAGGAUGGGGGUAUUGAUGAAGAUGUGAACCAUCGAAUCAAAGCUGGAUGGAUGAAGUGGCGCCAAGCUUCUGGCAUUCUCUGUGACAAGAGAGUGCCACAAAAGCUAAAAGGCAAGUUCUACAGGACGGCGGUUCGACCCGCAAUGUUGUAUGGCGCGGAGUGUUGGCCGACUAAAAGGCGACAUGUUCAACAGUUAGGUGUGGCGGAGAUGCGUAUGUUGAGGUGGAUGUGUGGCCACACGAGGAAGGAUCGAGUCCGGAAUGAUGAUAUACGAGAUAGAGUUGGGGUAGCAUCAAUUGAGGAGAAGCUUGUCCAACCUCGUUUGAGAUGGUUUGGGCAUAUUCAGCGCAGGCCUCCAGAAGCUCCAGUGCAUAGCGGACGGCUAAAGCGUGCGGAGAAUGUCAAGAGAGGGCGGGGUCGACCGAUUUUGACAUGGGAGGAGUCCGUUAAGAAAGACUUGAAGGAUUGGAGUAUCGACAAAGAG